RNAcentral lists this ribosomal RNA (1378 nucleotides) under Streptococcus thermophilus. Its description in RNAcentral is "bacterial SSU rRNA". It matches the Rfam family "Bacterial small subunit ribosomal RNA", at positions 72 to 1437 of the family's 1533-position model. Lineage: Bacteria; Bacillati; Bacillota; Bacilli; Lactobacillales; Streptococcaceae. The record is from RNAcentral.
AGAGGAGCUUGCUCUUCUUGGAUGAGUUGCGAACGGGUGAGUAACGCGUAGGUAACCUGCCUUGUAGCGGGGGAUAACUAUUGGAAACGAUAGCUAAUACCGCAUAACAAUGGAUGACACAUGUCAUUUAUUUGAAAGGGGCAAUUGCUCCACUACAAGAUGGACCUGCGUUGUAUUAGCUAGUAGGUGAGGUAAUGGCUCACCUAGGCGACGAUACAUAGCCGACCUGAGAGGGUGAUCGGCCACACUGGGACUGAGACACGGCCCAGACUCCUACGGGAGGCAGCAGUAGGGAAUCUUCGGCAAUGGGGGCAACCCUGACCGAGCAACGCCGCGUGAGUGAAGAAGGUUUUCGGAUCGUAAAGCUCUGUUGUAAGUCAAGAACGGGUGUGAGAGUGGAAAGUUCACACUGUGACGGUAGCUUACCAGAAAGGGACGGCUAACUACGUGCCAGCAGCCGCGGUAAUACGUAGGUCCCGAGCGUUGUCCGGAUUUAUUGGGCGUAAAGCGAGCGCAGGCGGUUUGAUAAGUCUGAAGUUAAAGGCUGUGGCUCAACCAUAGUUCGCUUUGGAAACUGUCAAACUUGAGUGCAGAAGGGGAGAGUGGAAUUCCAUGUGUAGCGGUGAAAUGCGUAGAUAUAUGGAGGAACACCGGUGGCGAAAGCGGCUCUCUGGUCUGUAACUGACGCUGAGGCUCGAAAGCGUGGGGAGCGAACAGGAUUAGAUACCCUGGUAGUCCACGCCGUAAACGAUGAGUGCUAGGUGUUGGAUCCUUUCCGGGAUUCAGUGCCGCAGCUAACGCAUUAAGCACUCCGCCUGGGGAGUACGACCGCAAGGUUGAAACUCAAAGGAAUUGACGGGGGCCCGCACAAGCGGUGGAGCAUGUGGUUUAAUUCGAAGCAACGCGAAGAACCUUACCAGGUCUUGACAUCCCGAUGCUAUUUCUAGAGAUAGAAAGUUACUUCGGUACAUCGGUGACAGGUGGUGCAUGGUUGUCGUCAGCUCGUGUCGUGAGAUGUUGGGUUAAGUCCCGCAACGAGCGCAACCCUUAUUGUUAGUUGCCAUCAUUCAGUUGGGCACUCUAGCGAGACUGCCGGUAAUAAACCGGAGGAAGGUGGGGAUGACGUCAAAUCAUCAUGCCCCUUAUGACCUGGGCUACACACGUGCUACAAUGGUUGGUACAACGAGUUGCGAGUCGGUGACGGCGAGCUAAUCUCUUAAAGCCAAUCUCAGUUCGGAUUGUAGGCUGCAACUCGCCUACAUGAAGUCGGAAUCGCUAGUAAUCGCGGAUCAGCACGCCGCGGUGAAUACGUUCCCGGGCCUUGUACACACCGCCCGUCACACCACGAGAGUUUGUAACACCCGAAGUCGGUGAGGUA